GCCCGCUCAGAAACUCAAAGGAAGUUGACGGGGCCCGCACAAGCGGUGGAGUAUGUGGUUUAAUUCGAUGCAACGCGAAGAACCUUACCUGGUCUUGACAUCCCGGAGACCCUUAGGAAACUAGGGGUGCUUCCAUCUGGAAGAAUCUGGAGACAGGUGCUGCAUGGCUGUCGUCAGCUCGUGUCGUGAGAUGUUGGGUUAAGUCCCGCAACGAGCGCAACCCUUGCCUUUAGUUGCCAGCAGUUCGGCUGGGCACUCUAAAGGGACUGCCGGUGUUAAACCGGAGGAAGGUGGGGAUGACGUCAAGUCCUCAUGGCCUUUAUGACCAGGGCUACACACGUACUACAAUGGCCGAUACAAAGGGCAGCGACACUGCGAGGUGAAGCCAAUCCCGUAAAAUCGGUCUCAGUCCGGAUUGGAGUCUGCAACUCGACUCCAUGAAGUUGGAAUCGCUAGUAAUCGUGGAUCAGCAUGCCACGGUGAAUACGUUCCCGGGCCUU
This 500-nucleotide ribosomal RNA is filed under the name uncultured Desulfobulbus sp. Its description in RNAcentral is "bacterial SSU rRNA". It matches the Rfam family "Bacterial small subunit ribosomal RNA", at positions 887 to 1382 of the family's 1533-position model. Lineage: Bacteria; Pseudomonadati; Thermodesulfobacteriota; Desulfobulbia; Desulfobulbales; Desulfobulbaceae. The record is from RNAcentral.